Molecule: long non-coding RNA, 241 nt
Filed under: Hordeum vulgare
Lineage: Eukaryota; Viridiplantae; Streptophyta; Magnoliopsida; Poales; Poaceae
Description: long non-coding RNA (HVUL_LNC009128)
Source: RNAcentral
UUUUUCCUCUUAUUCUUCUUCUCCUUCUUCUUCUUUUCUUCUUCUUCUCUUCUUCUUCUUCUUCUUCUUAUUCUUAUUUUCUUUUUUCUUUUUUCCUCUUAUUCUUCUUCUCCUUCUUCUUGUUUUCUUCUUCUCUUCUUCUUCUUAUUAUUAUUAUUAUUAUUUUCUUUUUUCCUCUUAUUCUUCUCUUCCUCUCCUAUUUUUCUUCUUCUUCUUCUUCUUCUUUCUUCUCCUUCCCUUC